CACAUACAGGAGGCUCUUGCAGGGUCUAGCAAGCUAUUAACAUAGCAGGGGAUAAGAAAAUCUUAAACAGAACUUGCAAUAAAGAAAGCCUAAAUAGGGCUCUCUUUACAGGAAGUGUUUAUGGAAGGCUGUGCAAGUCACAUGCAGGAAGGUGUGACUAGGGUUCAUAAACAAAGGGAUCUAACUCCUAAAUGGCAGAGGAUUGAGCAGUGAGGUUGCUGGGGCAUGUUCUAUACACCAAAACUGCUUCAUUAAGCUAAGGUGACUAUAGUGUCCCUUUAAGUGGUUGUAAUAACCCACAACGGAGAGUGUGGGGUUGUUUAUUUCUAGAACAGAUGUCACAUGCUGUUACGUACUCUUUGACAUCUGUUCUCAAAGAAGGCCACCAAAACUUGGUGAUUAUGAGAGAGUAUAUCUUUU
Pelobates cultripes (western spadefoot toad) is the source of this 420-nucleotide non-coding RNA. The record is from the annotation of a GenBank genome assembly. Lineage: Eukaryota; Metazoa; Chordata; Amphibia; Anura; Pelobatidae.